UUGACCUCGGAUCAGGUAGGAUUACCCGCUGAA
RNAcentral lists this ribosomal RNA (33 nucleotides) under Ophiostoma quercus. RNAcentral describes it as "partial 28S ribosomal RNA". The record is from RNAcentral. Lineage: Eukaryota; Fungi; Ascomycota; Sordariomycetes; Ophiostomatales; Ophiostomataceae.